RNAcentral lists this ribosomal RNA (443 nucleotides) under uncultured bacterium. RNAcentral's name for it is "partial 16S ribosomal RNA". It matches the Rfam family "Bacterial small subunit ribosomal RNA", at positions 338 to 795 of the family's 1533-position model. The record is from RNAcentral.
CCUACGGGGUGCAGCAGUGGGGAAUAUUGGACAAUGGGGGGAACCCUGAUCCAGCGACGCCGCGUGAGUGAAGAAGUAUUUCGGUAUGUAAAGCUCUAUCAGCAGGGACGAAAGAAAUGACGGUACCUGACUAAGAACCCCCGGCUAACUACUUGACAGCAGCCGCGGUAAUACGUAGGGGGCAAGCGUUAUCCGGAUUUACUUGGUGUAAAGGGAGCGUAGACGGUUACGCAAGUCUGGAGUUAAAGGCGGGGGCCCAACCCCCGGACUGCUUUGGAAACUGUAUGACUGGAGUGCAGGAGAGGUAAGUGGAAUUCCUAGUGUAGCGGUGAAAUGCGUAGAUAUUAGGAGGAACACCAGUGGCGAAGGCGGCUGACUGGACUGUAACUGACGUUGAGGCUCGAAAGCGUGGGGAGCAAACAGGAUUAGAUACCCCUGUAGUC